Hibiscus syriacus is the source of this 752-nucleotide long non-coding RNA. RefSeq lists it as uncharacterized. Lineage: Eukaryota; Viridiplantae; Streptophyta; Magnoliopsida; Malvales; Malvaceae. The transcript has 2 exons. The record is from RefSeq and is a predicted model, not a curated record.
UUCUUCGUUUUAAAAGAGAGAGAGGGGGACAGAGGCUUCAUAGGAGUUCGAACGGAACUCUUGUGUUCCCAGAAUCUAGUGAGCAUCCGCCGUGUCGACCGCCGCUGACCGACGCCAGUCGCCAGCAGCGUAAGAGAGAGAUAAAGAAGUCGCUCGAUCCGUCUCCUCGUCUGGAUCGAGAAUCCGAGCCUUGUUUAAGCAAACAGUGCCUCAAAAGUUGUAGAUCUAAAGAGAUCUUUUCGACUUCCGUAUUUUCGGAGGUCCUCGAAGUAAUCGACGAGCACCGAGACGGGGUGUGUUUCUGUCACUGUUUGGUGCAAAUCUGUUGGUGCCGGCGUCAGAAACAGUCGGCGAGGGUGAGGCUCGGCUUGAUCGGCGGCUGCUAAGCUGGUUGAGAUCAUUAGGGUGAAACCCUAAUCCUUGUGCGAUCUGGACCGUUGGAUGGGUCCAGAUCCAAUGGUGGAGAUAAAGGGGCGGCUAGGAGCGGUUAUGUUGAAAACCCUAAUCUGUUUUAGGGUUUUAGAUUGGGCCGGUUCAGGUUGGCCAUGGGUCUUGUCCUGGACACUGGGUUGAUUUUGUAAUCUGGGUCUGGUUUCAGUUGGGUUACUGGAUUAGGCUCUGGGUGAGGGCUUUGGGCUUGUACUGCUGGGCUUGUAAUUGGGCUCCCAUUUGGGCUUGGAUGAAGACCUGAUGGGCUUGUAAUUUAGCCUACAAAAUGUAAAUAAUUUUGUUAAUUAUAAUAUUUUUGUUAA